UGGGGAAUUUUCCGCAAUGGGGGGAACCCUGACGGAGCAACGCCGCGUGCGGGAGGACGGCCUGUGGGUUGUAAACCGCUUUUCUCUGUGAAGAAGAUCUGACGGUAGCAGAGGAAUCAGCAUCGGCUAACUCCGUGCCAGCAGCCGCGGUAAGACGGAGGAUGCAAGCGUUGUUCGGAAUCACUGGGCGUAAAGGGCGCGUAGGCGGCUGUUUAAGUCGAGGGUGAAAGCCCGGGGCUCAACCCCGGAACGGCCUUCGAGACUGGGCAGCUCGAGACCGGAAGAGGAGGGUGGAAUACCCAGUGUAGAGGUGAAAUUCGUAGAUAUUGGGUGGAACACCAGUGGCGAAAGCGGCUCUCUGGUCCGGAUCUGACGCUGAGGCGCGAAAGCGUGGGGAGCAAACAGGAUUAGAUACCCCGGUAGUCC
This 426-nucleotide ribosomal RNA is filed under the name uncultured prokaryote. Its description in RNAcentral is "bacterial SSU rRNA". It matches the Rfam family "Bacterial small subunit ribosomal RNA", at positions 355 to 796 of the family's 1533-position model. The record is from RNAcentral.